Molecule: ribosomal RNA, 253 nt
Filed under: uncultured bacterium
Lineage: Bacteria
Description: partial 16S ribosomal RNA
Rfam family: Bacterial small subunit ribosomal RNA
Source: RNAcentral
UACGUAGGGUGCAAGCGUUGUCCGGAAUUAUUGGGCGUAAAGAGCUCGUAGGCGGUUUGUUGCGUCGGCUGUGAAAUCCCGAGGCUCAACCUCGGGUCUGCAGUCGAUACGAGCAAACUAGAGUGUUGCAGGGGAGACUGGAAUUCCUGGUGUAGCGGUGAAAUGCGCAGAUAUCAGGAAGAACACCCGUGGCGAAAGCGGCUCUCUGGAACGGUACUGACGCUGAGACGCGAAAGCGUGGGGAGCAAACAGG